CACUUUUCUCAAUUUAUUUUAAAGAUGCUUUCCCUAUUGUAUAUUCUUAGCUUCUUUGUUGUAAGUUAAUUGACCAUACAUGUAUGAGUUUAUUUCUGGGCUCUCUUCUGUUCCAUUGAUCUGUGUGUCUUUUUGUGCCAAUAUCAUAC
Molecule: non-coding RNA, 149 nt
Organism: Vicugna pacos (alpaca)
Lineage: Eukaryota; Metazoa; Chordata; Mammalia; Artiodactyla; Camelidae
Source: RefSeq, a predicted model, not a curated record